AGAGUCGACCGGGCAGUCGCUGUAUCGGAGGAGUCUUUUGGGCUUCGCGCCGUACAGAGGAAAGUCCGGGCUCCAUAGGGCAAAGCGCCAGGUAACGCCUGGGGGACGCGAGUCCACGGAAAGUGCCACAGAAAAUAUACCGCCCGCCGUUUUUACUUUCCUGAUCGUUUUUUCGAUGGGGAUAAGGAGGCGAGUAAGGGUGAAAAGGUGCGGUAAGAGCGCACCGCGCCUCGGGUAAUCGAGGUGGCAGGGUAAACCCCGCUCGGAGCAAGACCAAAUAGGGGAACCGGUGCAUGCCUUAGCGCUGCAACCAAGCGCGGCCCGCGUUGUUCCCGGGUAGGUCGCUGGAGGCAUGUGGCGACACAUGCCCAAGAUGGAUGACUGUCCUCGACAGAACCCGGCUUACAGGUCGACUCUUGUG
This 421-nucleotide RNase P RNA is filed under the name Candidatus Kentrum sp. LPFa. RNAcentral's name for it is "Candidatus Kentron sp. LPFa Bacterial RNase P class A". It matches the Rfam family "Bacterial RNase P class A". Rfam says of the family: Ribonuclease P (RNase P) is a ubiquitous endoribonuclease, found in archaea, bacteria and eukarya as well as chloroplasts and mitochondria. Its best characterised activity is the generation of mature 5'-ends of tRNAs by cleaving the 5'-leader elements of precursor-tRNAs. Cellular RNase Ps are ribonucleoproteins. The record is from RNAcentral. Lineage: Bacteria; Pseudomonadati; Pseudomonadota; Gammaproteobacteria.